Molecule: ribosomal RNA, 253 nt
Filed under: uncultured bacterium
Lineage: Bacteria
Description: partial 16S ribosomal RNA
Rfam family: Bacterial small subunit ribosomal RNA
Source: RNAcentral
UACGGGGGGGGCAAGCGUUGUUCGGAAUUACUGGGCGUAAAGGGCGCGUAGGCGGCCUGCUAAGUCGGACGUGAAAUCCCUCGGCUCAACCGAGGAACUGCGUCCGAUACUGGUGGGCUUGAAUCCGGGAGAGGGAUGUGGAAUUCCAGGUGUAGCGGUGAAAUGCGUAGAUAUCUGGAGGAACAUCAGUGGCGAAAGCGACUUCCUGGACGAAUACUGACGCUCAUGUGCGAAAGCGUGGGGAGCAAACAGG